RNAcentral lists this transfer RNA (85 nucleotides) under Felis catus (domestic cat). It matches the Rfam family "tRNA". Rfam says of the family: Transfer RNA (tRNA) molecules are approximately 80 nucleotides in length. Their secondary structure includes four short double-helical elements and three loops (D, anti-codon, and T loops). Further hydrogen bonds mediate the characteristic L-shaped molecular structure. tRNAs have two regions of fundamental functional importance: the anti-codon, which is responsible for specific mRNA codon recognition, and the 3' end, to which the tRNAs corresponding amino acid is attached (by aminoacyl-tRNA synthetases). tRNAs cope with the degeneracy of the genetic code in two manners: having more than one tRNA (with a specific anti-codon) for a particular amino acid; and 'wobble' base-pairing, i.e. permitting non-standard base-pairing at the 3rd anti-codon position. Lineage: Eukaryota; Metazoa; Chordata; Mammalia; Carnivora; Felidae. The record is from Rfam by way of RNAcentral.
ACCUGGGUGGCUCAGUUGGUUAAGCGUCUGACUUCGGCUCAGGUCAUGAUCUCAUGGUUUGUGGGUUCAAGCCCCAUGUCAGGCU